RNAcentral lists this ribosomal RNA (254 nucleotides) under uncultured bacterium. RNAcentral's name for it is "partial 16S ribosomal RNA". It matches the Rfam family "Bacterial small subunit ribosomal RNA", at positions 526 to 779 of the family's 1533-position model. The record is from RNAcentral.
CGGAGGGAGCUAGCGUUAUUCGGAAUUACUGGGCGUAAAGCGUUCGUAGGCGGCUUUGUAAGUCAGAGGUGAAAGCCCACGACUCAAUCGUGGAACUGCCUUUGAGACUGCUUCGCUUGAAGAUGGGAGAGGUUAGUGGAAUUCCGAGUGUAGAGGUGAAAUUCGUAGAUAUUCGGAAGAACACCAGUGGCGAAGGCGGCUAACUGGACCAUUCUUGACGCUGAGGAACGAAAGCGUGGGGAGCAAACAGGAUU